GGGGAUAUGGCGCAGCUGGUAGCGCAACUGCUUUGCAAGCAGUGGGUCGUGGGUUCGAGUCCCACUAUCUCCACCA
Molecule: transfer RNA, 76 nt
Filed under: Candidatus Opitulatrix roisinitermitis
Lineage: Bacteria; Bacillati; Actinomycetota; Actinomycetes; Bifidobacteriales; Bifidobacteriaceae
Description: tRNA-Ala
Rfam family: tRNA
About the family: Transfer RNA (tRNA) molecules are approximately 80 nucleotides in length.
Source: RNAcentral